AUCAUAGAGGAAAAUCCACAUU
Molecule: microRNA, 22 nt
Filed under: Sus scrofa (pig)
Lineage: Eukaryota; Metazoa; Chordata; Mammalia; Artiodactyla; Suidae
Description: ssc-mir69
Source: RNAcentral